RNAcentral lists this ribosomal RNA (261 nucleotides) under Paractenopsyllus madagascarensis. RNAcentral describes it as "partial 12S ribosomal RNA". Lineage: Eukaryota; Metazoa; Arthropoda; Insecta; Siphonaptera; Leptopsyllidae. The record is from RNAcentral.
AUAUUAAAGUAGUAUUAGUUAUAUUCUUGAAACUUAAAGAAUUUGGCGGUAUUUUAAUCUAUUUAGAGGAACCUGUCCUGUAAUCGAUAAUCCUCGUUAAAUUUUACUGAAUUAUUUGUAUAUCGUUGUCGAAAAAAUAAAUUUUUAAGUAUUAUUAAUAUAAUAGAUGUCAAAUCAAGGUGCAGUUAAUAAUUUAGAAGAGAUGGGUUACAAUAAAGUUAUUUAGGAAUUUAAUGAAGAUGGAUUUAAAUGUAAAUUAUU